UAGUCAUAUGCUUGUCUCAAAGAUUAAGCCAUGCAUGUCUAAGCACAAGCCGAUUAAUGGUGAAGCCGCGAAUGGCUCAUUACAACAGCCAUAGUUUCUUAGAUCUUACUUUUCUACUUGGAUAACUGUGGUAAUUCUAGAGCUAAUACACGCAAACAAGCUCAGACCUUACGGAAUGAGCGCAUUUAUUAGAACAAAAACCAAUCGGGCUUCGGUCCGUCAUUUGGUGAAUCUGAAUAACUUUGCUGAUCGCACGGUCUUCGUACCGGCGACAUAUCUUUCAAAUGUCUGCCUUAUCAACUCUCGAUGGUAGUUUAUGCGCCUACCAUGGUUGUAACGGGUAACGGAGAAUAAGGGUUCGACUCCGGAGAGGGAGCCUGAGAAACGGCUACCACAUCCAAGGAAGGCAGCAGGCACGCAAAUUACCCACUCCCGGCACGGGGAGGUAGUGACGAAAAAUAACGAGACGGCUCGCUAUGCGGUCCGUCAUCGGAAUGGGUACAAUUUAAAUCCUUUAACGAGGAUCUAUU
Molecule: ribosomal RNA, 530 nt
Filed under: uncultured eukaryote
Lineage: Eukaryota
Description: SSU rRNA
Rfam family: Eukaryotic small subunit ribosomal RNA
Source: RNAcentral